GGAAUUUCUUUCAUUCAAGAAUCUCUCGAGUAUGUACACUUGACAAGAAAAAACCUUGGUUAGUAAUAGAAAAAUCAAUUAAUUUGAAUAUAAUAUUGUUUCCAUGUGUCUAGGGCCAAGGAAUAAAAAUUCAUAAAUAUUAAAUAAUAUAUGGGCCCGAGGGAAAAGAAUCUUUACUUUUGUAAGAAUAGGUGAAAUAGUUGGUUUAUAUAUGUAAAUACCAACUCAAUGUGCAACUCAUUUUUGUAGUUUUUUCAUAUCUCUUGCAUAUGUAUAGUCGAAGAAAGAGAGAUAAUGAGGUCAGCUGAGAGAAUGAAAGAGGCAAAUGAGCAUGGACUUUUGAAGAAGAUAGCAAGUUGGGGUCUUAAGUCCAAGAACAUGGUACAUGCAAUUGGACAGUCCUUCCUGAAAUUGCUGGUAUAUAACUUCUUCUUUUUUUUUGCGAUAAUGUGCUAUUAAUUCAUGUCUCAUUUCGGAUAAGUUUGUAUUUGGCUACAUAUCCUAAUUAGUUUUCUAAUUUAUUAGGGUUGCAGAGGAAUGGUAACAGCUGUAGAGUAAGGUGGAUGAAUCAUCUUAGCCCCGAUUUGAAAGGGGAAAUUUUACUACUGACGAAAGUCAUGUAAUUAUCCGUCAUCAAGCUCUCAAUGGCAACCGGUACUGGCUCUUUUAUUUACUCAUUUCUCUUGGCCUCUUACAUAGGACAAUGAAAAGAAGAAUUUAUUAGCGUACGUGUUUAAUAUACAAUCUUAAAGCUGCUAAUUCGUAAAAACAAUUGCUUUCUCCUGAUUAUUCUCUUGAGUAGUUAUCGAAUUCACUACUAUUACAUUCUUGCACAUCUUGUCAUAGUAGGCCUUUAUGUAGUCUAAUCCACCAAUAGUAGCAACAUCGUCAUAAUGUUUAGUCUUCAAAAUUCUGUUUUCCUUCAACACCACAAAUGUUAUCUAUACCAAGCUUCUUCUUCAGAUGGACAUGCCAGUAGUUUUUAAUGUCAUUAUCCGUCCUCCCAGGCACGUGUGCUGCAAUGGCAGCCCAUCUACACAUACACGAAAUUUAAAGUGUCAAAUGCAUUAACAUAAUAACAUAAAUUUAAUUAAAGAACAAAACAUUUCAAUUGAAAUCCUUAGAGCAUUUCCGAUGUGCUCUUUAAACAAGCUCUUAACUUUAAAUUUAAAGAGCAAGCCAAGAAUUAGAGCUUCAAUGGGCUCUUAGAGCAUCUCCAAUAGUCUCUUAGUUAGCUCCUAUAUAUAAUGUAAAAUAUUAAGCUCCCAGGAGGUUAAUACAUUACUAAGAGUUUGAACUCCAAUAAUGCUCUCUAUACACACUCCUAACACUAUAUUUUAUUAUUAUUUAAACUCCACUAUGACAAAAGUUCAAAGUCACAUGGGUGAGAGUGAAUAUUAAAUUAUAAAAAACAAGUUAAGAGCCAUGUAGUGGCUCUUAAAAAAGAGGAGAGAGAAGGGGCUCCUAGUAUUUUUAGGAGCCACUAAGAGCCUAUUGGAGCUCCAUUUUUUCUUAUCCUCUUUAUUUUUGAUUUUAAGAGCCAAUUUAAGAGGCUAUUGGAGAUGCUCUUAGAAACUCUUUAAAAAUUUAAGAGUGUACUCUCUCUCCUUUCUUUUAAAUAGCAUCUAGUAGCUCUUAACUCAAUAUAAUAUUAAUUUCCCUCCAAUCUUCUCUUUCUUUUGGUUGACUUUUUCCUCUCAUUUAUAUAAUAUAUAUAAAUGAAAGGAAUGGAAUGAAAUUUGAAUGACAAUUUUGUUUAACGUUUAAUAAUUUCAUUCCUUUCACUAUUCCAUUCCUAUCACCCUUAACUAGAGCUCAGACCCUCCACUUUGUGAAAGAAUGUAAUAAAAUUUGCAUUCACUCCUUAUUCAAAGUCCUCCCUCCUACCCCCUAUUAUUUCCUUUUAUUUUCACUCAUUCCAUUCACCCCCUACCAAACACAACAUUGAAUCCUUUCUAGCCUAUUGUUGAGCCCGUUGAAUCCCAACUAACAUUGUUUAUAGUAAUAGUUUUAGAAUAAUGAAUACAUCUAAAUAAGUUUUCAAAUAUCUUGUUUAGCAAUUAGCGACUUUAUGAUACUGUCAUUAGAUAGGGAGAUAAAUUCUUUCUUUGAUUUCUUGUUUAAAAGACCUAGAGAAAUAAGUCAACUACUAAUUUAUUUUUAUGGAUUUUUAUCCCUUGACCCCAGAUACUAUUUAAUUUCUACACCUAACGCCUCUUGUUCGUAAGUCACAGUGAUAGUUUAACCUCUUUUUCUCAUCAUUCACUCUGACAAAGAUAUCAAACACUAAACCUAGGCACGUGGAAGCUGAACCCAUGCCCAUCUUUGUUAUCUCUUCUUGAUAUGUUGCUAUAGAUUCAAAGGUCAUUGUCACAACUUGCAAGGUGCCCAAAGGCUCAAACUAUAGUCCUUUGUUCAACCCAUGUCAUUCUUCCACUUAUAAGCUCUAUCAACUUCUGAUUCGAAAGCUUUCUCAACAAACUCAACCUUGUUCAUGGUUUAAGAACCAAUGAUAUGAGCUUCAUACUAUGGUAUGUAUAUAUUUUGACCAGUGAGAAGCGAAGCUCUAUCAUUAAUGCCUCUAGAUAUUAAAUUGACCAUGCACUUAAAAGUAGCAGGAGAUGCGAAGUCUGGAUCAUUUGGAUGAUUAUUAAUGCCUGAGAGUUGAUUUACUUCCACAGUUCCGCUCAUUAAAGAUCCAGAAAGAAGGCAUAUGAUUAAAGCUACGGGCAGACCCAUCUGAAGAAGAAGCUUGGUAAGGUGAAGGAACAAAGAACCAUGAAGGCUAUAAACAUUACAGCGAUGCCGUUACUGUUGCGGGAUCAGACUACAUAAAGGCCUACUAUGACAAGAUGUAUAAAAAUGGAAUAGCAGGGAAUUUAAUAACUACUCCAUAUCGGGAGAAGGCAAUCGUUUAUAUGAAUGAAACAGGAAAUUCAAUAAAUCCUCCUCCAUGGAAUCAAUUGAAUGAAAGUAUUUACGAUAACAUUGGAAUCCUGACCAUGAAAGAAAUUGAUAAAUUGGUGUUUGAAGAUCUCGUAAAAGGAUCUUCAAGCCUAGUAGGAUCCUCAUGCAACAAUUUAUCAAUUUCUUCUAUGGUCGGGAUUCCAGUGUCAUCCUAAAUGCUUUCAUUCAACUGUUUUUGUGGAAGAAGAGUUAUUGAAUUCCUCCUCGUUUCAUUCAUAUACACGUGUGUCUUCUCCCAACUGUUCUGUGAAGUAGUUAUCGAAUUUCCUGCUAUUGCAUUCUUACACAUUUUGUCACAGGACUUAAUCUAGUCUAAUCCACCAACAGUAGCGACAUCGUCGUAAUGAUUAUUGCCUUCAUAGUUCAUUGUUCCUUCAGCACCGCAACUAUUAACUUUACCAAGCUUUUUCUUCAGAUGUACAUGCAAGUAGUUUUAAAGUCAUCAUGAGUUUUACCAUGCAGGUGUGCAGCAAUGGCAGCUCAUCUAAACAUACACGAAAUCUAUUUAAAUUUAAAACCGUUAAAUCUAUUAUUACAGUAUCACACAUUAAAAUGAAGAACAACGCAUUUGAACCGAAAUCCUUUAGUAAUAUUGUUUAUAGUAAUAGUUUUAGGAUAGUUAAUACUUCUAAUUAAGUAUUAAAGUCUUAUUUGACAUUUUAAUUAGCGGUUUUGAAAUUGUGUCAUUAAACAAGUAAGCCAAUAAAUUCUUCUUUAAAUUGUUCUAAUUAAAAGGCCAAGAUAAAUGAAUAAAUAAGUGCUGGUACCGGUUGCCAGUGUGAGUCUGAUGGCAGAUAAUUAUCAUAUCUUCCUCAGGAGUAAAAUUUCCGUGUUUAAUACUAGGGCUACGAUGAUUCACCCACCUCAGUCUACAACUCUAACCAUUAAUCUUUAGUCUUAGUAAUUACAGAACAAGUAUUAUUUCUAUUUUUAUAGGUAAAUGCUCGUUCAGUUAUUGCCUGAUGUAGUUCCCUAAUGUGGUGGAUAACAGUGGUUAUGCAAUUUAGUUUUCACGAGGAUUGAUUCCCUAUUACAAGUCAGUAAGUAUAUUUGCUUUGUUACACCUCGGACUCUGACUUCGGGUUAGCCUUUUUGUAAAGUUUUGCUGAAUGUAUUUACCUUUUGGAUGUAGGUCAGGGAAAGGCACUCCAAAAUUUCCGUACAUGCUUGACCUUGGAAUUCAGGUACUUCAAUAUUCUUGUUAUGUAUUACUAGGCAGUGUCUGUAUUGAUGCAGUAAUGCUAAGUUUUUAAUCUUUUACAGAGUUUUGAUACAAAGUUCCUCAAAAUAUAAUCAGAGCUCCCGCCCACCCCGCUGCAACUAGAAGAAAAUUUGAAACAAUUAAAAGUCCUGGAGAAUGGAUACAAGAUGAAGGUGGGUUUCUAAUUAGGAUACAUCCAUUUUCCAAAUAUCUUCAUAUUAUAUCCCUACUCUUUUGUGUUUCACCAAUAAUCUGAUGGCGGUUGCCGCCGGUGAUAAUCUCCGACGAGGUAAUAGAUUGAGGAGCCGUGUGGUCGGGAUUAUACCCGCCAGGUAAACUUACUCGCGCUUCGAGAGCAAGUCUCUCAUUGAUAUCCCCAACAAGCCCAUGAUCCAGGUACGGCCCACUUGCUAUUUCUACACCUCAAUUAUUACUAUAUUUGUUGUUUAGUUUGACCCUUUGACUUUCUUGUGAUCGUGUAAAUAUAAUGAAUAAUGAUCAUAGUAAUGUCUAAUUUGGAGACUAGAGGUCGAGAGUUUAAGUCUUGUCAUAGUGAGAGUGUUGGAUAUAAUUUAGAAAAUAGAGUUGUAGUUUAGUUUGGUACACAGGCUUCAGACUAAUAGGUGGCCAGUCUACUAUUUGUUUAUAUUUGCGGAAAUGCAGUAAUGUUAACAUACAUUAUGCUUAUUUUAACAAAAUAAUUGUAAAUGCUAGUUUAGUUGUAACUUGUGUGCUUAUUUGUUGUAUUUUUUUAUAUUCGUAUUAGUUAGUUAAGUUACUUUUUUGUAAGUAUUUAUAAUAAGAAAUUAAGUAAUUACAAAUAUUAAAAUUGGGAUAUAAUUAUAUUUUCAAAUUGGUAUACCUAAUGCACAAUAUUUGUUAUUAAUAUUAAGAUAUCUUUUCCAGAAAUGACUAUAAAUAAAUAAUAUAUUCUAAACUAAGAACAAAGGUUUUUUUUAUCAUGUGUAUACAAUUUUGAGACCCUGAGCAAACAGAGACACAGUGCCGAUAAUCAAUUUGCACACCUUAAAAAACGGCACUGGUUCUUAUUAUAAACAAUCAUUAAUCCAUAAUUAAGCAAAAGAACUGGACUUAAUAAAAGGAGCAGAAGGAUCUUCAAGCCUAGGAUAUUCAAGCAGUAAUUUGUCAAUCUAUUCCAUAGAUGGGAUUCUAGCGUCAUCAUAAAUGCUUUCAUUUGACUAAUUCUAUGGAGAAGGAGUUGUCGAAUUCCCCAUUGUUUCAUUCGUAAAAACAAUUGCCUUCUCCUGAUUAUUCUGUUUAGUAGUUAUCGAAUUCACUACUAUUACAUUCUUACACAUCUUGUCAUAGGAGGCCUUUAUGUAGUCUAAUCCACCAAUAGUAGCAACAUCGUCAUAAUGUUUUUAGUCGUCAAAAUUCUGUUUUCCUUCAACACUACAACUGUUAACUAUACCAAGCUUCUUCUUCAGAUGGACAUACCACUAGUUUUUAAUGUCAUUAUCCGUCCUACCAGGCACGUGUGCUGCAAUGGCAGCCCAUCUACACACACACGAAAUUUAAAUAAAAUUUAAAGUGUCAAAUGCAUUAACAUAAUAAUAUAAAUUUAAUUAAAGAACAAAACAUUUCAAAUGAAAUCCUUAACUGAAAUUUUUUAUAGCAAUACUUUUAGAGUAGUUAAUACUUUUAAAAAAGUAAUAAAAUUUUGUUUGACAUUUUUAUUAGCGGUUUUGAGAUUGUAUCAUUAAACACAUAGGCCAAUACAUUAUUCUUUUAAUUGUCCUAUUUGAAAGACCAAGACAAAUGAGUAAAUAAAAGUGCUGUUGCCGGUUGCCAUUGAGAGUUUGAUGACGGAUAAUUGUCUUAUCUUCCUCGGGGGUAAAAUUUCACCGAUAUCAGGGCUAAGAUGAUUCACCUACCUUAGUCUACAACUCUUACCAUUCCUAUGCAACCCUGUUAAAUUACAAAACUAAUCAGGAUAUAUAACCAAAUACAAACUCGCUAAAAUGAGACAUAAAUUAAUAGCACAGUAUAACAAAAAAAAAGUAGAUAUAUACCUAUGCAAGUUUAGGAAGGGUUGUCUAAUUGCAUGUACCAUGUUUUUGGAUGUAAGACACCAACUUACUAUCUUCUUCAGAAGUCCAUGCUCCUUUCGUUUUUUCUUAUAUUUUCUCAGCCGACCUCCUUAUCUCUCUUUCUUCUUAUCUCCGACUAUAUAUAUGUAAGAGAUAUUAAAAAAUUGUUUAAAUGAGUUGCAUAGUGAAUUGAUAUUUAUAGAUAUAAACCAACUAUUUUUACUUAUUCGUACAAAAGUAAAUAUUUUUUUUGCCCCAGGCGCAAAUAUUAUUUAAUAAUUAUGGAUUUUUAUCCCUUCACCCCAGACAAAUUAAAACAAUAUUAUAUUCAAAUUUAUUGAUUUUUCAAGUACGAACUGAAGUUUUUCUCUUGUCAGAUGAACAUACUCGUAUGGUACAUUACUCGUACAAGAAUAUACUCCAUAAAGAGGAAUUACUUUCUCGUACAAGAAUAUAUUCCAUAAAAAGGAAUUUCUUUCAUUCAAGAAUCUCCCGAGUAUGUACACUUGACAAGAAAAAACCUUGGUUAGUAAUAGAAAAAUCAAUUAAUUUGAAUAUAAUAUUGUUUCCAUGUGUCUAGGGCCAAGGAAUAAAAAUUCAUAAAUAUUAAAUAAUAUAUGGGCCCGAGGGAAAAGAAUCUUUACUUUUGUAAGAAUAGGUGAAAUAGUUGGUUUAUAUAUGUAAAUACCAACUCAAUGUGCAACUCAUUUUUGUAGUUUUUUCAUAUCUCUUGCAUAUGUAUAGUCGA
RNAcentral lists this long non-coding RNA (6967 nucleotides) under Daucus carota (carrot). RNAcentral describes it as "long non-coding RNA (DCAR_LNC003195)". Lineage: Eukaryota; Viridiplantae; Streptophyta; Magnoliopsida; Apiales; Apiaceae. The record is from RNAcentral.